RNAcentral lists this unclassified non-coding RNA (362 nucleotides) under soil metagenome. Its description in RNAcentral is "partial contains 5.8S ribosomal RNA, internal transcribed spacer 2, and large subunit ribosomal RNA". The stretch from base 1 to 120 matches the Rfam family "5.8S ribosomal RNA", at positions 35 to 154 of the family's 154-position model. The record is from RNAcentral.
GAUGAAGAACGUAGCGAAAUGCGAUAAGUAAUGUGAAUUGCAGAAUUCAGUGAAUCAUCGAAUCUUUGAACGCACAUUGCGCCCGCCAGCAUUCUGGCGGGCAUGCCUGUCCGAGCGUCAUUUCAACCCUCAGGGUCCCUCCGCCUCGCGCGGUCGGAGCCUGGUGUUGGGGAUCGACCCGCCCCGCGCGGCGCCGUCCCCCAAAUACAGUGGCGGUCCCGCCGCAGCCUCCCCUGCGCAGUAGUUAUCAACUCGCACUGGAGCGCGGCGCGGCCACGCCGUAAAACCCCCCAAAUUUUCAAGGUUGACCUCGGAUCAGGUAGGAAUACCCGCUGAACUUAAGCAUAUCAAUAAGCGGAGGA